This 412-nucleotide ribosomal RNA is filed under the name Triticum aestivum (bread wheat). Its description in RNAcentral is "partial small subunit ribosomal RNA". The record is from RNAcentral. Lineage: Eukaryota; Viridiplantae; Streptophyta; Magnoliopsida; Poales; Poaceae.
UUAUUAUCUCAAAUGUAGCAUCAAGCGGAUACAAAACAUUAUGAGUAACACCCAGCCUCUGCAUAACUAGGAUGCACAUAGCCAAACACCAAAGUCUGACACUAAAAAAAGUAAGAAAACCGACAAUACGACAACAGUAGAGUCCUAUGGACCGACACUUUGCCUAUGUCGAACUCGGCGGUGGAUGGAUCCGGAGGUUAUGCUGCCACCCAUGUUGGGAAAAAACCUCCAUAGCCGCCUGCUCCAACCGCGUACACACCGCCUUGAACAGCGGUUGGUGCUCCGCCUGUUGUAGCGUAGACCACGUACUAAGCGAGUGCGUACAACGGAAAAUAACCUGCAGAGGAGAAGCAUUUUUGUCAUUAAAAAUCAAAUCAUUUCUACAUAGCCAAAGCGACCAUAGUAAGGCAUA